CUGGCUCAGGACGAACGCUGGCGGCGUGCCUAAAACAUGCAAGUCGAACGAGAUCUUCGGAUCUAGUGGCGAACGGCGGAGUAAGACAUGAGCAACGUGCCCCUAUGACUGGGAUAUACAGAGGAAACUCUGGGUAAUACCGGAUGUGGCUAUUCCUUGGCAUCUUGGAAUAACUAAACGGAUUUAUUCGCAUAGGGAGCGGCUCAUGACCCAUCAGGUAGUUGGUAGGGUAAUGGCCUACCAAGCCGACGACGGGUAGCGGGUCUGAGAGGAUGAUCCGCCCGAGUGGGACUGAGACACGGCCCACACACCUACGGGUGGCAGCAGUUGGGAAUAUUGCACAAUGGGGGAAACCCUGAUGCAGCGACGCCGCGUGGACGAUGAAGGGUUUAGGCCUGUAAAGUCCUUUUGCUAGGAAAGACUUAGGACGGUACCUAGCGAAUAAGCUCCGGCUAACUACGUGCCAGCAGCCGCGGUAAUACGUAGGGAGCAAGCGUUGUCCGGAUUUACUGGGCGUAAAGGGCGCGUAGGCGGCCUAUUAAGUGUGGUGUGAAAUCU
RNAcentral lists this ribosomal RNA (558 nucleotides) under uncultured bacterium. Its description in RNAcentral is "bacterial SSU rRNA". It matches the Rfam family "Bacterial small subunit ribosomal RNA", at positions 19 to 602 of the family's 1533-position model. The record is from RNAcentral.